AAUUGAUUGCAUUGCACAGAGUGCCCUCCACAUAUAAUCAAAAGGCAGGCGGCCAGCUGAGAUGGGAAGCUGUGCCUUUGAGAUGGAGUGCCUUCAUGAAGUAUGGAGAACUGAAGCGUUUCAGCAGAAGAUGCAUGCUGCUUCCACGAGGGGAUGCGUGAAUUGCAAAGAGUGAGGAAGGUGUUUACUUGGAAAGAAACCCACAGAGACAGAAGCAGCCAAGCUUCCCGUGUGAGAAAGCGGCGGGUGAGCAGCGCCAAGGUGCUAAUCAACCCAGGCAGACGGAAGACUGCAGUUUGGAGCCCACAGAGUUUGGCAGUGAAAGCCGAUGGCCAGAAAAUCCUCUCUACACUCCAGCGGUCACUUCGACUGCAGUCGGACACGGGGAAGUGGAGAGGUCGUGGACAAAGUACAAGGGGCAGUGCAGCACCCCACCACCGGAAUGAUUGCUCUCUCUGAGGGGAAGGUGGCUCUUCUUCUCUGUCAGCGUGUAAAUGCCUUCCACAUGUCGUUCAUCAGUGGACCACUCCCAGCACGGUUGCUUGGGCUGAAUACACGGCUACAAAGAAACUUCAGUCUUUU
Long non-coding RNA from Cyprinus carpio (common carp), 582 nucleotides. NCBI's taxonomy places the organism in Eukaryota, Metazoa, Chordata, Actinopteri, Cypriniformes, Cyprinidae. The record is from Ensembl.